Molecule: ribosomal RNA, 785 nt
Filed under: uncultured bacterium
Lineage: Bacteria
Description: bacterial SSU rRNA
Rfam family: Bacterial small subunit ribosomal RNA
Source: RNAcentral
AGAGUUUGAUCCUGGCUCAGAUUGAACGCUGGCGGCAUGCCUAACACAUGCAAGUCGAGCGCUCUCUUCGGAGGGAGCGGCGGACGGGUGAGUAACGCGUGGGAACGUACCCUUUUCUACGGAAUAGCCUCGGGAAACUGAGAGUAAUACCGUAUACGCCCUUCGGGGGAAAGAUUUAUCGGAGAAGGAUCGGCCCGCGUUGGAUUAGGUAGUUGGUGGGGUAAUGGCCUACCAAGCCGACGAUCCAUAGCUGGUUUGAGAGGAUGAUCAGCCACACUGGGACUGAGACACGGCCCAGACUCCUACGGGAGGCAGCAGUGGGGAAUCUUAGACAAUGGGCGCAAGCCUGAUCUAGCCAUGCCGCGUGAGUGAUGAAGGCCUUAGGGUCGUAAAGCUCUUUCGCCAGGGAUGAUAAUGACAGUACCUGGUAAAGAAACCCCGGCUAACUCCGUGCCAGCAGCCGCGGUAAUACGGAGGGGGUUAGCGUUGUUCGGAAUUACUGGGCGUAAAGCGCGCGUAGGCGGAUUAGUCAGUCAGAGGUGAAAUCCCAGGGCUCAACCCUGGAACUGCCUUUGAUACUGCUAGUCUUGAGUUCGAGAGAGGUGAGUGGAAUUGCGAGUGUAGAGGUGAAAUUCGUAGAUAUUCGCAGGAACACCAGUGGCGAAGGCGGCUCACUGGCUCGAUACUGACGCUGAGGUACGAAAGUGUGGGGAGCAAACAGGAUUAGAUACCCUGGUAGUCCACACCGUAAACGAUGAAUGCCAGUCGUCGGGUAGCAUGCUAUU